GGAUCUUUACUUUUCUUUUCUAUGUAACGAUGUUUGAUGAUAAAGGGAAGCUAGAACAGGCAAACAUAAGCUUGUUUUGUUGACUUCCACCCUGAAUUCCAAAGUAGAGCUGAAUCGCCAUUUUUCAGGUCCCAUGGGAUUGAGUUUAAAUUACUCCAGUUUGCUGUUCGUCCCAUAAGAUUUAUGUUUAAGCUACCUAUUUUGGGUACCUUAUACAUCUUAAUUUAUUGAGAAACACAUUUGGCUCAAGCUUUGCAUGCUUUCGAUAGAAAUAGCUGAUUUCACAUUCGUUAGUUUAUUUCAUAUUUUGUUACAAUGGCAAAUUAGCUUACACUUUUUACAUUUGAUUUUUGCUUCUGCAAUUGUAUCUUCUUGUACUUCAAAUUCCUAUCCUAUUCAUUUGCAUGUUUAGUCCAAAUGCACUCCAGAAUGGUUAGAAGUUGCAGGAGCUUUUUAACUUGAUGUACUCAAGGUUUCAAAGAUAGGGUUAGGGUUAAAAGAUCAUUCUUUCUUGAUUAUAAUCGACAUAUUAAUUGUUGCGCAUUUUUCUGUCUGAUGUGCACAGGGACCAGGAGAUAAGGCACCUCAAGCUCCAACUGCAGCAGCUGCACCUACAGCUCAACCCGCUCAGGCAUCCAAGAAAUCCAAGAAGUGAUCGAGAUCUGCAAUGAUGGAUACUGAGGAUUUAGAAGAACACAUUGUAUCUUGUGUUCUGGUUAUUAUCAUAGUUCAGUGAUUUUUGACCUAUUAUGUUUUUCAUUUUGUCUUUUGGUUAUUUUGUCGAACAGUGUCGUUUUCUUGUUGAAGGAAGAUUGUAAAGAUAUUUGAUACUUCCCGGUUUGUUUUCAUCUAUGUUAAAGUCGGUUCCUUUCGUUU
Long non-coding RNA from Rhododendron vialii, 876 nucleotides. RefSeq lists it as uncharacterized. Lineage: Eukaryota; Viridiplantae; Streptophyta; Magnoliopsida; Ericales; Ericaceae. The record is from RefSeq and is a predicted model, not a curated record. The transcript is spliced from 2 exons.